GGCUCCCAGCCUCAUAGGGCUGGUGGUAAAUCUGCCUCCUCCUCUUCCUCCUCCUCCCACCCCACUCCGGUGGGGUGGUGGGGGAUGCACGUGGUCUCCAGGUUCCCAUCCUCUCCUGCCUUUCCCCUCUGGAGUUGGUUUUCUCAGGUGUUUUAGGAUGUUACUGAUCCCAUGUUACUGAUCCCAUUUGGGAUGCCUUAAAUAGAAUUUGUUUGUUUCUCUAACUCAGGCAUUGACAGAACAGUUGACAGAUGAGGAGCUUGCACAAGGAAGACUUUAUCCUCCACUGUCUAAUAUCAGGGAAGUUUCUAUUUAUAUCGCUGUCAAGGUGAUGGAAUUUUUGUACGCAAACAACAUGGCUUUCCAUUACCCCGAGCCUGCAGACAAGAACCGUUACAUUCGAUCCAAAGUUUGGACCUACGAAUACGAGUCCUUCAUGCCAGACGUGUACGACUGGCCUGAAUCUAAAGUUCACUGACACCUCGGAAGAUCGCGCUCCUCAGGCAGUAUCUUCUACUCUGCAGGGAUCCCCUUUUCCAGACCAAUUUAAAUCAUCAUCUUUUGAGUCCUGUUAAUUUAUUUUUCGCUCAUUUUGUUGUCUUUUUUCCCCUCGUUACCCUGUUUUUCACUUGGCGUAGAUCUCUCCCCAGCACCUGAUAAACUGUAGGGAUAAUGGCAUCUGUCACAGGAAUGAGAGAGCUCUCCAAAAUUAAUUUAAAUAUUGAUAUUGCAUUUCUUGCUCAGAAUCUGCACCAGAAUUCCAUUAAUGAUGUUUUUUGCUACGAUGAUCUAUAGCUCUCUCAUCACUGUUGGCUUCCAGAAUGAUUUAUUUCUGCUUUUAAUAAUCAGUCUUCUCCUCGUCCUACUGUUGUCACGCUGCGUUAUCCGUGACGUCGCCGGAGAGCAUUUGUCAAAGGUAAAAAAAACCAACAUCUUAAGACAAAUUUAACAGUCUCGUGGGCUUUCUGGUUUGUCUGAUGUGUAAAGAUGCCCCUGUCCAGGCUUCCUCGUGGCAUUGGCUGCUCUGAUUUUUUUUGAGGAGCAGCAUCAUGUCUGUAUUCCAUGUUCUGCAUCAAUCUAUUAUCAGGAAAAAUGUGAGCUCGUUCCAAUUAUCCUUGGAAAGCCCAACAAAUAAUCUUAACCACUUAAUAGCUUUGCAAAACGAAGCUACGCCGUUGCCUGAUAAAUCAUAUCACAGAAAGGCAGGAUCUGAAAUAAUCAAUAGAAAUCUUUUAGAGAUUUUUUUUUUUUUCCAAGACUUUCUGCAGUGGACUCCAAGGGGAGGUACCAGAGGCUUUAUGUUCAGCAUUAAUUUUUUUGUCAAGGUUCUGUUUCUCCUGAGCUAAAUUGUUUUCUCCCCAAAAAAGCCUCGUGCGUGGUGUUUUCGUGACAUCGCUGACUCCGAAACUCCUAAGAGGUCUCGGUUGCCGCUUCGAACAAACUCCCCCCCCACACACACACACAUGCAGCUGAACCAAAAAGCAGCACAGGCAGCUAUUGACACCCCCAUUUCCAGUUGGACCAAAGGUUUCUUGUGGUCUCAGCCCAGUAGGUUCAGUUCAAUUCGACUACAGGACUCGAAAGAUCUCAGAUGCUCCAAAUCGAGCGCUUCACCUUCCUCGGCUCCGUUUACAGCUUUCAUUUUUCGGGCCUUUUUGUGUUAAAAAAUCCCAAAUCAAGUUUUCAGAUCCCUGGGAAAAGGAAGAAGACUUUGGUGUUUGUCUUUAGCCAGUUUGUGAGUCCUAAACAUAUCGCAGAGUUGAUUUUUCUUUUUUUUUCUCCUUGCAGUGAAUAUUACUGCACAUUUGAUGCCGAUACCACAAUGUGCAUUCCUUUUCAUCUUGUUCCUAUCUGGUUUGAGUUGCCCUCCAGUAUUUUUAUUUUUUUUUAACAGCAGCGAGAGUUACAGUCGGUGGUGACUCUAAAUCUGGUCUCCUUAACAAGAACAAUGGUAUGUCAGGAACAGAAAUAAAUAACAUGUGCUGCAUCGAGGCGAAAAAGGACAAAAAAUAAAUAGAUAGAUAGAUGUAAAAGGGCUAUACCAGCAAACUUGAAGCUGGAAUCCAAAGAGGUGUUGAAGUAAAGCUUGCUUGGGAUUUACCAGCAGCAAACACCUCUCUCAUAUCCUCAUUUAUACUGGAAAAUGCAUUCUCCACCCAAAAUAGAGCAGAGAAAAUAAUCUCUGAACCCCCUUCGACACGAUCUCUGUCGCUUACCGCCCGGCCCCUGAUUUUCAAACGAAAUUCACAUCUUAGAUAAAAAAGAACAAUAAACUUUGGGAAGGCUUUACCUAAGUGAGGAAAGAAGACUGAUUAUAUAAACCCAGAAAAUAGUGAUUUCGGGGAAA
Molecule: long non-coding RNA, 2347 nt
Organism: Calidris pugnax (ruff)
Lineage: Eukaryota; Metazoa; Chordata; Aves; Charadriiformes; Scolopacidae
Exons: 2
Source: RefSeq, a predicted model, not a curated record